UGGGGAAUAUUGGGCAAUGGGCGAAAGCCUGACCCAGCGACGCCGCGUGGGUGAUGAAGGCCUUCGGGUUGUAAAGCCCUUUCGUGUGGAAAGAACAGUCUCGCGGUUAAUACCCGCGGGAUUUGACGGUACCACAGGAAGAAGCACCGGCUAACUCCGUGCCAGCAGCCGCGGUAAUACGGAGGGUGCGAGCGUUGUUCGGAAUUACUGGGCGUAAAGGGCGCGUAGGCGGUAGUGAUAGUCAGGUGUGAAAUCCUUCGGCUUAACCGGAGAACUGCAUCUGAAACUUCACAACUAGAGUACAGGAGAGGGAAACGGAAUUCCCGGUGUAGAGGUGAAAUUCGUAGAUAUCGGGAGGAACACCAGUGGCGAAGGCGGUUUCCUGGCCUGAUACUGACGCUGAGGCGCGAAAGCGUGGGGAGCAAACA
This 428-nucleotide ribosomal RNA is filed under the name uncultured prokaryote. RNAcentral describes it as "bacterial SSU rRNA". It matches the Rfam family "Bacterial small subunit ribosomal RNA", at positions 355 to 774 of the family's 1533-position model. The record is from RNAcentral.